ACUCCUACGGGAGGCAGCAGUGGGGAAUAUUGCACAAUGGGGAAAGCCCAUCGAUGCAGCCAUGCCGCGUGUGUGAAGAAGGCCAAUUCGGGUUGUAAAGCACUUUCAGCGAGGAGGAAAGGGUGUGUGUUAAUACCAUACAUCUGUGACGUUACUCGCAGAAGAAGCACCGGCUAACUCCGUGCCAGCAGCCGCGGUAAUACGGAGGGUGCGAGCGUUAAUCGGAAUUACUGGGCGUAAAGCGUGCGCAGGCGGUUUGUUAAGCGAGAUGUGAAAGCCCGC
This 282-nucleotide ribosomal RNA is filed under the name uncultured bacterium. RNAcentral's name for it is "partial 16S ribosomal RNA". It matches the Rfam family "Bacterial small subunit ribosomal RNA", at positions 335 to 605 of the family's 1533-position model. The record is from RNAcentral.